This 117-nucleotide small nucleolar RNA is filed under the name Sorex araneus (European shrew). Its description in RNAcentral is "Small nucleolar RNA SNORA72 (ENSSARG00000019717.1)". It matches the Rfam family "Small nucleolar RNA SNORA72". From Rfam's summary of the family: U72 is a member of the H/ACA class of snoRNAs. Lineage: Eukaryota; Metazoa; Chordata; Mammalia; Eulipotyphla; Soricidae. The record is from RNAcentral.
CUGUUAGUAUUCUAGCUCUGGUUUUGUUGUAAGGAUUGGACUACUGUAAGACCACGCAUGUGUCCCCAGACCUUUGUUUCUUCCCUAGGCCAAGACUUGUAAAUGCUGGUGACAAGG